This is a long non-coding RNA of Cyprinus carpio (common carp), 959 nucleotides long. The record is from Ensembl. Lineage: Eukaryota; Metazoa; Chordata; Actinopteri; Cypriniformes; Cyprinidae.
GUCACGUCCCGUGCCAGAUUUGGAUGAAGAGUGGCCCAAACAGAAGGACACAGCUUCAGUCAGACUCACUUUACAAGGCUGUCAGAGACGCAAGCGUCAGCUGCGAGAAACGAGCACAUGGAGCUGGAGAAAUUUUGUGGGCUUGAUGAACAUCUUCACCGGUGAGCGGCCGAAUCCACCUUGACCCACAGCCCACCCCAGCACAGUGCCGGGCCCCUCAGAGCACUGAAAACCUGCGGGAUUUGCCAUUUGGAAGUACUGACCUGCAACUUACCCAUUCCCGAUCUGUUCGGACAAGAGAUUCAGGAGUGAAGCUGCUCCGCUUUGGGCCAGGUGCCAGUUGCAAAAGGCGAGUGAAAAUAUCAGUGAUCUGCAUGAGGAAACAUUGGGAGUGAGCGGAAAACACAAACUCACAAACAUCCGUGCAACUAUCGCAGAAAAAAGUGAAGGUUGCGAGGGUAAGGGAAGACACAGAAAAAGUGGAUCAUGAAAGAAGAGGUGGGGGGUGUUUAUUCAAGCCUGCUUGAUGCUCCUCGGGCCUUCAAGAGCUGAUAGCAUGUGCCGUGGUAACUGUGGGACUAUUUGCAUGCGGCAGACACGCUAAUUGUGUGUUUGCUAACACGCACCAUUCAGCAACAAGCACUCCGGUCCACAGACGGGGUUCACACACGCCUCCCAGACGCCCCGGAGGCCUCCUAUUGUUCCAGAGGCCCAGCCAAGCAGCCGGUGUGCCUAACCAGAGCCCUGCGCUGGCCUGCCGAGAGGGGAAACUGGAAUUCGAGACCAGACGGGAUAGCGGGAUAGUGGACAGGCUCACAGCCCCUCUCUCUCUUUCUCUCCGCAGCAGGAAAAAAGAGGCCUGUGGAAAGCACUGCCUCCGGGCGCUGACGUCCUCGCAGAUGUGUGCACAAGAGAAGUUGCAAGAUGCUGCCCUGCACAGGAUCACUAUAAUCACAUGA